This 453-nucleotide ribosomal RNA is filed under the name uncultured Enterobacteriaceae bacterium. RNAcentral's name for it is "bacterial SSU rRNA". It matches the Rfam family "Bacterial small subunit ribosomal RNA", at positions 927 to 1382 of the family's 1533-position model. The record is from RNAcentral. Lineage: Bacteria; Pseudomonadati; Pseudomonadota; Gammaproteobacteria; Enterobacterales; Enterobacteriaceae.
AAGCGGUGGAGCAUGUGGUUAAUUCGAUGCAACGCGAAGAACCUUACCUGGUCUUGACAUCCACGGAAGUUUUCAGAGAUGAGAAUGUGCCUUCGGGAACCGUGAGACAGGUGCUGCACGGCUGUCGUCAGCUCGUGUUGUGAAAUGUUGGGUUAAGUCCCGCAACGAGCGCAACCCUUAUCCUUGUUGCCAGCGGUCCGGCCGGGAACUCAAAGGAGACUGCCAGUGAUAAACUGGAGGAAGGUGGGGAUGACGUCAAGUCAUCAUGGCCCUUACGACCAGGGCUACACACGUGCUACAAUGGCGCAUACAAAGAGAAGCGACCUCGCGAGAGCAAGCGGACCUCAUAAAGUGCGUCGUAGUCCGGAUUGGAGUCUGCAACUCGACUCCAUGAAGUCGGAAUCUGUAGUAAUCGUGUCUCAAAAUGGCACGGUGAAUAUGUCCCUGCUCCUU